AACGAACGCUGGCGGCAUGCCUAACACAUGCAAGUCGAACGAGACCUUCGGGUCUAGUGGCGCACGGGUGCGUAACGCGUGGGAAUCUGCCCCUUGGUUCGGAAUAACAGUUAGAAAUGACUGCUAAUACCGGAUGAUGACGAAAGUCCAAAGAUUUAUCGCCGAGGGAUGAGCCCGCGUAGGAUUAGCUAGUUGGUGAGGUAAAGGCUCACCAAGGCGACGAUCCUUAGCUGGUCUGAGAGGAUGAUCAGCCACACUGGGACGUGAGACACGGCCCAGACUCCUACGGGAGGCAGCAGUGGGGGAAUAUUGGACAAUGGGCGAAAGCCUGAUCCAGCAAUGCCGCGUGAGUGAUGAAGGCCUUAGGGUCGUAAAGCUCUUUUACCUAGGGAUGAUAAUGACAGUACCUGGAGAAUAAGCUCCGGCUAACUUCGUG
Molecule: ribosomal RNA, 436 nt
Filed under: uncultured bacterium
Lineage: Bacteria
Description: bacterial SSU rRNA
Rfam family: Bacterial small subunit ribosomal RNA
Source: RNAcentral